CAUGAAAAACAACUGAAAGCAUUUUAAUGAGGAUUUCUUAAGUCUGGAAUCUGGGUACUUCCAGUCUUAGGCCAAAGCCACGCUUUUUUUUUUUUAACAGAGUCUUGCUCUGUCCCCAGACUGGACUGCAGUGGCGAUCUCAGCUCACUGCAACCUCCGACUCCUGGUUUCAAGCCAUUCUCUUGCCUUAGCCUCCCGAGUAGCUGGGGUUACAGGCACGCACCACCACACCCAGUUAAUUUUUGUAUUUUUAGUAAAGAUGGGGUUUCACCAUGUUGGCCAGGAGGCUGAGGCAGGACAAUGGCGUAAACCCGGGAG
This 318-nucleotide long non-coding RNA is filed under the name Pan troglodytes (chimpanzee). Its description in RNAcentral is "lincRNA". The record is from RNAcentral. Lineage: Eukaryota; Metazoa; Chordata; Mammalia; Primates; Hominidae.